CUCUAUCAGGAAUAUCUUUAGUAGAAUGAUUUACGACAAAACAACUAUCCCCUGUUAUUGACUGUGCAAGGUCAUGGAUCAGAUCAUGCAUUUUAUAAUCAUACCCUUCCUUUUGAAAAAAUGACCUAAAUAAUAAUUCUUUAAAGUAUUCAUCACCAAUCUCCUCUAAACUUUUAUUUCCACUUUGACUCCAGGAAUGAACAUAGCCUUGUGCCAUCCAUAACUCAAUUAGCAUCUCCUUACCAAAAUUAUAAUCUUUAGGGAACAUAGCACAAUAUGCAAAACAUUGCCUUAAAUAAUUUGGUAAGUGAUCAUAACUCAAUUUCAACACUGGACCAAUAUCACUUUUACCCUCAAGCAACUUCCAUACAUCAUUUUUUAGGACAGAUAGCCAUUCACUUUCACUGCUUAUUGAUCGCAUCAUGCUCCCUAAAGUCUUUAUUGCUAGUGGAACUCCUUUACACUUUCUUACAAUUUCUUCUCCAAUUUUGAGUUUUGAGUUUGAUAUUUCCUGCCCCUGUUUAAAUGCUAACUUCUUAAACAAAAACAAAGAUUGGCCUUCUGUUAGAACCGCUAGAUCAUGAGAGAAAUCAGCACCCAUAGCUAAAGCAACUCUCUUGCUGCGAGUACUUACUAGAAUCUUACUUCCUCUAGCACCAAUUGACAAAUAUUUUUUCAAAUUAUUCCACUUGUCUAUAUUUUCAUUCCACACAUCAUCUAACACUAGUAAGUAUCUCUUCCCUUCUAUCUUUUCCCUUAGGUUACUUUGCAACUGGUCCAAACCUAAAUCAUCCAGAUCUUUUUUGCCUACACUUUUAAGAAUAUUUUUAACUAGAAUUUUCACAUCAAACUCUUCAGAAACACAUACCCACAUCUUUGGAUCAAAAUGCUUUAUGACAUUGUUAUCAUUGAACACCAAUUGGGCAAGGGCAGUCUUUCCCAAGCCACCAAAACCAACAAUUGCAACUACAGAAACACUCUCUUCAUUUUCAAGACACAACAAUGACUCUAUGAUUUUUUCCUUAUCUCCAUCUCUUCCUAUCAU
This 1045-nucleotide unclassified non-coding RNA is filed under the name Hevea brasiliensis (rubber tree). The record is from RNAcentral. Lineage: Eukaryota; Viridiplantae; Streptophyta; Magnoliopsida; Malpighiales; Euphorbiaceae.